GUUAGCAAAGGUGUCAGCUAGAGAUGACGUGCAGGAUCUUGCAGGGAUUUGUAGUCUUGAAUGAUGUCUACUCUGAUGCAAAUUAGCUUUUUCGAAUCUUAGCGUAAAUAGAGCUGAAUAUAUUGAUAAAAGUCACCUUGUCCGAGAGGUUUACAUGGAUAUCAAAGUGUCACGCCAGUGUAAACCUAUACGAAAGACAGCCCUUAGUUUAAAAGUUUCUAAAAUCCCCUAUGGGAAAAAUGAAUGGUGUAAAAAACAAUUGGAACCAAUUUGACCGCUAGGUUUUAUGGGUAUUAUAACACCUCCACUGUGGGGCUCUAUAGUAGUGAGGCAACAAUGGAUAUUGACAAUGAGUUCAUACAUUAUGUAAAGUCUAAUGGAAAAACUGGAAUGUGGACAUUGAGGAAAAGAAAGCUCCUACUGUCACAGGCGUCGAAAUGAGUAGACCAAGGUGUAUAGUGCUCAUUUUUAAACUUUUAAUGAAGACACUUGAACCAAAACAAUAAAACGACCGACAACAGUUCCAUAAGGUACACACUGACAAAACGGAAAACAACUACCCACAAAAAACAAAGGAAAAACAGGCUGCCUAAGUAUGGCUUCCAAUCAGAGACAACGAUAGACACCUGCCUCUGAUUGGAAACCAUACCCGGCCAAAACAUAGAACACAAAACAUAGAAUGCCCACCCACUUAUCACACCCUGGCCUAGCUAAACAGAGAAAACACAGCUCUCCUAGGUCAGAGCGUGACAGUACCCACCCCCCCAAAGGUGCGAACUCCCGGCCGUAAACCUGAACCUAUUGGGGAGGGUCCGGGUGAGCAUCUAUAAUUGGCGGCGGCUCUGGUUUGGGGCGUAGCCCCCACACCGCCCGCUGAUCCCCCCGCUUCUGUGUCGCCGGAGGAACCAGACCGUGGAUCAGCGCCAGAGGCUCUGAACUGCCGACCGCCGCUGAAGACUCUGGGCUGCAGGCCGCCGCUGAAGACUCGGGGCUGCAGACCGUCGCUGAAGACUCAGUGCUGCAGACCGUCGCUGAGGACUCCGGGCUGCAGACCGUCGCUGAGGACUCCGGGCUGCAGACCGUCGCUGAAGACUCCGGGCUGCAGACCACCGCUGGAGGCUCCGGACUGGGGAGCGUCGCUGGAGGCUCCGGACUGGGGAGCGUCGCUGGAGGCUCCGGGCUGAGGAGCGUCGCUGGGGGCUCCGGGCUGAGGAGCGUCGCUGGGGGCUCCGGGCUGAGGAGCGUCGCUGGGGGCUCCGGGCUGAGGAGCGUCGCUGGGGGCUCCGGGCUGAAGAGCGUCUCUGUAGGUUCCGAACUGGGGACCUUCGCUGCAGGCUCCGUGCCAUGGAUCAUCACUACUGGUUCCGCGUCAUGCAUCAUCACUGGAGGCUUUGUGCCAUGGAUCAUCACUGGAGGCUCCGGGCCAUGUAUUAUCACUGGAGGCUUCGUGCCAUGGAUCAUCCCUACAGGCUCCGGGCCAUGGAUCAUCACUGGAGGCUUUGUGCCAUGGAUCAUCCCUACAGGCUCCGGGCCAUGGAUCAUCACUGGAGGCUUCGUGCCAUGGAUUAUCACUACAGGCUCCGGGCCAUGGAUCAUCACUGGAGGCUUCGUGCCAUGGAUUAUCACUGGAGGCUUCGGACCAUUGAUUAUAACUGGAGGCUUCCUACGGGGAGCUGGAACCGGUCUCACCAGACUGGGGGGACGCACAGGAGACUGGGUGUGCAGAGCAGGCACAGGGCGUACUGGGCUAUGGUGGCGCACUGGAGUGAGAGUGCGCGGAGCAGGCACAGGGUAUACUGGGCCUUGGAGGCAUACUGGAGGUCUGGCGCUGAGGGCUGGCACAACCCAUCCUGGCUCGAUGUUGACUAUAGCCCGGCAAGGGCGGGGAGCUGGAAUAGGCCGCACUGGGUUGAGCUGGCGAACUGGGGGUACCAUGCGUAGAGCUGGCGCAGGAUAACCUGGGCCGAGGAGAUGCACCGGAGACCAGGAACGCACCGGAGACCAGGCACUCCUUCCUGGCUGAAUGCCAACUCUAGCACGGCAAUGGUGAGGAGCUUGCACCGAGCGCACCGGGCUGUGAGUGCGCAUGGGCGACACCGUGCGCACCACCGCAUAACACAGUGCUUCUACAGUCACUUGCUCCCCACGGUAAGCACAGGGAGUUGGCUCGGGUCUUAACCUCGCCUUAGCCAAUCUACCCGUGUGGGCCCCCCAAAAUGUUUGGGGGCGCUGCCUCUCGGCCUCCUGUUGCUUGCCUAGCUGUUCCUCCCAGUAUCGUCGUUCCGCAUUUGCUGCCUCUAUCUCCCAUUGCGGACGGCGAUACUCACCAAGGCCUUGUCCAGGGUCCUGCCCCAUCUAGGAUCUCCUCCCAGGUCCACUCCUCUGAGCCAUACUGCUUGGUCCCGCUCCUCCUCCUGGAGAGUGCACGCUGCUUGGUCUUCUUGUGGUGGGUAGUUCUGUCACAGGCGUCGAAAUGAGUAGACCAAGGCGCAGCGUGUAUAGUGCUAAUUUUUAAACUUUUAAUGAAGACACUUGAACGAAAACAAUAAAACGAUCGACAACAGUUCCGUAAGGUACACACUGACAAAACGGAAAACAACUACCCACAAAAAUCAAAGGAAAAACAGGCUGCCUAAGUAUGGCUUCCAAUCAGAGACAACGAUUGACACCUGCCUCUGAUUGGAAACCAUACCCGUCCAAAACAUAGAACACAAAACAUAGAAUGCCCACCCACCUAUCACACCCUGGCCUAGCUAAACAGAGAAAACACAGCUCUCCUAGGUCAGAGCGUGACACCUGCACAACUCCAAAGUGAUGGGAAUACAGUUGAGAGAGAUGAAAUAAACCAAGAGAAGAAAAAGAAAGAGGGAGUUGAAAAGAAAAAGGUAUUUCAGGAGAACCAGCCAGCAAAAUGCAAAGGUAAAACAUGUGGACGAAAGAGAGAGACUUUAAAAAGAAAUACCACUAUAGAGGAUAAAGAGGAGAAUAACUAUAUUCUUGAAGUUCAGAAUGUGAAGUGAGCAUGAAUACCCUCAGAAUGUUUAUCUAUCUCUCCUAUCUAUCUCCCUCUGCAGACGUAUCAAUCUUUUCAGCUGGUUUUCAGGUCAAAGAGACUCAGCACACCCAGCAGUGCAAAGAUUCCUCAAUCUUUGCGUAGUCUGGGGUGAUGAGUCAGAUUGGCUCAGGAGGACCAGCCAGCAAAGUGCGAAGAUUUCUCCAUCUUCUCAGCUGGUGCUGAGGACAAACAGACCCUAGUGCAAAGGGAAUCUUUGUUUACAGUUGUUUUGUGCAAUGAAGCAUUUAACUCUAUAGUAGUCAUAGAUUGAUAUUUGGAUUGCAGUUUAUUAAAUUAAUAUGAUGGUCUGAUGGACUAUUGAUACUCAAACUGUCCUGAACUUGUCUGGAAAAGUCUAUUGUGUUUCGCUAAUUUGAAAGCAAAUUCAGUUUGAAAGCAUACUCAAUGCUGUACAUAUUUUAGUGUUGAGGGUACUAUAAUCAAACACACUCCUUUUGAUAUUAAUGCCAGUCAUUUUAUUUUUUCUUGUCAGAUUUCAGUUGCUGCAGCUGAGUCAAAGACUCUGAACCCUCAGGAGGAUGAGCCAGCAAAGCGCAACUGUGAAAAAAACAGAAUGAUUUCUCUGUUUUUGCUGCAGUUAGAGGAAAGAUUCAAGACACUUAGACAGACCAGGCAGCAAAGGUCAAAAGGACCUGGACAUUGACAUGGGCUGGUCAGAGACGAGCAGUGAAGGUGUGGCCAAGGUCCCCCCCCCCCCCAGCCCAGCAGGCCAAAUACUUCCAGCAGGAGAGAGGCAAGAACCAUUUGUCCACCAGCCCAGGAAAAAGUUCCCAGUCCUAUGUUAUGUGCAAUGUAAUUGCAUUGCUGGACAUUUCUAACUAAAUAUAUGUGUACUGUUUAAAAAAUUACAAAUGAAAGGAAAUGUAUGGCUUUAAUAUGUCUUUGACUUUAUAGUAAGAACAGCGUCAUAUGACACAAGGCAUUUAUGUAUGUGUUAUAAAUGACCAAAGGGGUCUGACUUUAUUAAAGAAUGUACAGCGUCAUGCGCUAUAGUCUUUCUGGAUGUGUUCUGAAUGACCAAAGGUGUCUCACUCACUAUAUUAUAAAGUGUCAAUAAAUAGGUUACUGUAGGGUGUGAGAGGUAUUUCAAUGGGUUGAUGGUGUAAUGGGAAAUGUUUAUUGUAUGUGUCCACAUAACUGUGAUUGUGACUAACCUUGUCAAACUGUGUGAAACUGUCCUGUUCUCGGAAGUAUCACCCCGUGUUGCAAACCAGCUUGCACCUGCGUCCUUGUAUAGAUCCGCCCAAGAACAGGAGACUAUAAAGAUAUGUGCCUAUCACCCAAUGCUUCGGAACUUAGACUGUCUACACUGCGCUGUUUAAGUCUGUUUCUCUCUGAGCUCAG
This 4420-nucleotide long non-coding RNA is filed under the name Salmo salar (Atlantic salmon). Its description in RNAcentral is "lncRNA (ENSSSAG00000109678.1)". Lineage: Eukaryota; Metazoa; Chordata; Actinopteri; Salmoniformes; Salmonidae. The record is from RNAcentral.